AGUGAAUCGCACAGAGCUGUGUCAAAAGUUCGCCAGUGUUAAAUCAUCCUGCACGAUGUUAUUAGGCUGUUUAAGGACAUCUGUGUGUAAGUAUUAUAUUGUCACAAGGUGUUUCUUCAUGUUAGAUGUUGACAUGAAGUUUCUUAAGUUGUUUAAUGUCUAAAAAGUCGGAGAAAAAUAAGACGCUAAUAGCGCUAGCAUCCCUAUGGGUUUUUCAGUGUAAAUUAGCAUCAUGCUAAUCGCUAGUGAUUUGUGUUUUUAAUGCAGUUUUAGCUUAGCCUGCAUUAAUGAUUGACAUAUAUUUAGCCUAUAUGACUGCUGGAUUUACAGUGAUUAUGUGACUUCUAAGCUUUCUGGUGUUUUUGGAGCAACUGUUAGUGAUCUAGAUAGUUCAAUACAUGAGUGAAGGCAGAAGAGUAGAUAUGAGAAUGAGAAAAUGGUUUCAGUAUCUUAAAUUUGUAGUUAGACAACUUUUGUACUUAAAAUCAUUGUCACUUCUCCUCUCACUUUGUUUUUCAUCAGUGGCUCACCGAGGCCCCGUCCCCCGCUGUGACCCCCCACCAUCCGUCCAGCGACAGGUGAGGAGUCAAAACGUCAUUAGAGAGAGAUGAAGAUGGACGGCGGCAGGAGUGACGCGGCUAAUGUAAGCAUUUACGCCGGGAUUGUUUACAUUCACACGAGGUGUGUGUGUGUUCACACGCUUCAGGUUGAUCUCCCGCGGGGUUUCCCACACCAACUUCACCUAAGAAAGCAAAUAAAGAGUCUGGGCCUGUUAAAACACAACACAAAUAACUACUAACAGAAGAGCUGCUGCUGCUGUCUUCAACAACACACAAACACACAAACAGACGGGAAUGCAAGCCAGUCCGUAAAAACACACAUGUGAUACCUAUUCUUCUAUACUCCCCACACACACACACAAACACACACAAACACACAAGCAACUAAGCAACCCAAAGGUAGCAAACAGACUAAUGUUGACACCCUGAAUAGUUUAAAUACUGCUAUAGGACAGGCUUAAAACACACCUGCUGCAGAUUAACAUAUACCACACACACACACACACACACACAGUAAUUUGAAUGCCGAUACAAACAGUUGAAUAAACAUCACCUGCGCUGUGUUUCCAGAUCAAGACACUCAUCCAAACACCUGUACACCCACCUUUAUUAGAGCCCUCAACAACAACUAUUUCACUUUACCACACACACACACACACACACAAAGACACACACAAACACACUCAUAAAUAAACACACUCUGCAGCAGCCAGCUGCUUUGCUCAAGGACACUUUAAAAGAUAAUAAGAGGUCUUUAUGAUCAAACCUGAGCAGCAGGAGUUUAUCCUCAGACUCCAACUCUGCAGCAAACAAACAGAACAUAUAGAUGUGAGUUAUAAACACUGAUGUUUAUGAGGUUAUUUGCAUUAUUGAUCAUUGAUUUCCGGAUGUCAAAAUGAAUCAAUAACAUGAAUUUAGCUCUGAUUUUCUCACUGAAAAAGAGAAAAAGCCUAUUUGGGUUGGAGGGUGUUUCACUUUGAGGACUCUCAUACAGGAGACUCAAGCUCUUAAAACCACAUUUUUCUACUUUGAUCAAGCCGAGGAGCAACUUCACAAGUAAGGGGCCCCAGUUACUGGACCAGGACUCGUGCAUUACCUGCUCCACCUCAGUCCAAGUCUCAAAGCCUGUUGUGUUACUGAUAUUCAAACACAAAAUACCCAUGAAGUUUUGCAGCUCUGUGCAGUUUUCUUAUGAGCAUCUGUAUUUUCUGCUGCACAGAGCUGCACUGUGCACUCUCAUCCUCAAAUCUGUGCGCAAACAGACGAUGAGCUGGAUCAGUGGUCCCAGAAUCUCAGAGGUCCUCUGCUCAAUGUCACGGUUUUUACCAUGUCUUGAGUAUCUUUUAGACUCAUCUGCAGAGGUUUAGAGGAUGCAACUACUUAAAGCAGGGCAACAUGUAGUUUCGGGGCCUCAUGUUCGUGUUGAUACAGGGUCUAUUUUAGGAAACAGUUCUCUAUAAAGGGGUAAAAACUCUGAGGGUCUAUGACGAAAGUAUCACAUGAUGGAAAUACAGCGAUGUUAGCUCUCACUGGACCUGCCUGAUCAAAACUCUUUGAGUCUUUUGUUUAUUUGAACGAUGAAAACUGAAAUGUUUCUCAAUGAGGGAUUUGUCGAGGGAAGUUGAAACGUGAUUAGCUCCUCAGCGGCCUUUCUUACACAUACACCGACUCGCAGAUAAAGAUGUCGGCGUUAUGGUUUACAGCGUGUGAGAACCAACGGCUCUGUUGUUCAGCAGCAGACAGAGGAAUGACAGCGGCUGCCAUCAGGGACUCUCAUCACAGCCGCCUUUUAUCUGUCAUCAAAAUUAGUGUGUUUUGUGUUGUGUAUUCCCAAGGUGUUAGCGUGUGUGUGAGUAAAGAGUGCGAACACAUUCAGAACCGCUGCUGUGCUUUACCUGUGAAACCUACGCUCAUUUCAGCUCCUUAAAUUCAGCCAAAUAAAUUCAGCUCUCUGUUUCUGCUGGUCCAGAAUAACCCGCAGAUCUGUGGCUGCUGAAAAAGUUAAAGCUCAGAAGUUUGAGCUCUUUUAUCCGUCUCUCAGGAGAAAAUGCUUUUCCAUCCAAUUUGCCGCCAUCCAAUUGUUGAAGCACACUAGCAGAGACUCUCCUUCAUGUUUCUGAAGUAGAAAAUUAACUGCGAGCUGGUGGCUGCUUCAAUUAGUACCUCCGGAAAAAAAAAAGAUAUCAAAUCCUCCUUUUAUAAGCUCUUGAUAACCACUUCAUGUCAACACGGCUGCGCCUGGUUCGGUUAAGUUUGAGAGAAGGUGGACUCCAUCAAGUUAAGAUUUCCAUUUUCAGAUCUUCUUUUAAUUGUAAUCAGAAACUUUAUUCCAACUGAUACUGAGAAAGGACUUCGAUACCAGAGCUCUGUGUAAAUGUUAAAACAGUACUUGAUCAUCUGCAAAUCUUUUUAAAUUGAAUUAAAAAAAAGAAAUACUGCAAAGAUGACGUAAAUGUGCAAAACUUGACGCAUUAAACUGCUUUUUAAAACUUACCAUCAGUCCAUCGCAAACAGGUCUGGGUCCAGACCAUAGACUGUAUAUAGAAUGGACGCCGUCUGCCUCCUCCAUAGGUGAAGCCACUCCGAGAACAGCACCCUCUGGUGACGGGCUGCAGUAUAGGUCAUAAACCCCGCCUCCUUAUGGAGCUGUGGACAAACUUUAGAAAUGAAUGACACAGAAUAUAAAUCUCCCCCCUGGUUGUGAUGUUGACAUGUAGUUACUGUCAGACUGUUUUUGUUCAAGUCCUCUUUUUUCUGUACAGCUCCAUUUUUAAAAGUUAUUAGGGGGUUCAUGUUUUCUAUGAUUGACACUUGAUACAGCCUAUGGGUGUAUGAAGAUUGCGUAGCUCACCAGGGGGAUACGCUGUUUGAGCCGAGUGUCGGCGACUCUCCUGCCGGAUGUGCACAACGCUACUGCACAAGUGGUGAAGUGGGUAUAAAGACAAAUCGCAAAAAUACCGAGAGCUUUUCGGCUUCAAAGACUGAUGGCAGAAGGCGGAACCAAGUCGUCGAUUGUAUAUACAGUCUAUGGUCCAGAUGAGAUGUUGGUGUUUAUGGACAGUAAUUUAGGUGAUUUUGAGCUGAUGCAAUGACUUCCACUAAAGAGUCAUGUCUUUUUUUAACACAACGCUGCCUCCUGGUCAUACAGAACUGUCUUCUGUCUCUCUUGUACAAACAUUGAACAGGUUUCUCCAAAUCUUAAUGAUAUUCUGCACAGUAGAUGAGGGAAACAUUUGCAAAUCUGCGCUAUUUUACUCCCCAGAAUAUUAUUGGCUCUCGCAGUCUCUCACAAAGUGGUUCUUUUUCUGUCCUUUUUAUGUCCAGUUAUAUUUACCUUUUGUUUAGCAUGACACAACUCUUUUAGUUUCAAAAUCUGUUCUUUACAUUUUGCGCAGAGUCCUGACUGUUAUAAGAAGAAAACAGUAGUUUACACUGAAGGAGACAGAGCAGAUCAAAGUGAAUCACAGCUGCUGUUUGUUUUUACUGAGCAGGAGCUGAUGGAGGAGCAGACAGCUGUUGAUCGGUGAUUGACCUCCUUUGUCGAAAAGUGGGAGGGGCACAACCACAGGUGGGUGGGAGGGGAGGAAGGAGGAACCCCCUGCAGAGAAGCCGAUGAUGUUCCCUCCUGCUCUGACAGACACACCGAUGAUUGAAAAGGAUAAAAUGAAGUUUUAUGCAAAGACCAUCACACCUCUGCAGACUGAGUUUCUUCUUCCUCUCUGUCAGCAGUAAAACAGUUAGUGAAGAGUUUAUAUCCAGUUGCUUCCACAUCCUCAUAAGUAAUUCAUCAGAGGAGUAUAUUUAAUCUACCUCUAGCUUAUUCUGUUCCAUCUCUAUCUGAUGUAACCAGAAAUCAUAUUUUAUUGAAGACUUUCUUUCUGCAGAUUUACAUCUCUUUGAGUAAACACUUCUCAGAUCGUGAACUCUCGCUGGAGUCGAGUUUAGUUUGCAGGACAGCGCCCCCAUGCACAGUCAGGGCAUGUGGGUCAUCGAUGUAGAAAAGCGUAUUUACAUUAUGUUUUAUUUUUAGGAUUUAUGAGGUAGAGUUUAAAACAUCAUGCUUCCUCAUUUGCAUGGAUCUCUGACCUUUCUGCAGCUUUCCUGCCACCCGUGCCCCCGCGAAGAGGAGCGAGCUAACAGCCGAGUUUUUAACCAAACAGGAUUUCCUCAUGCCGGUACAGCCGGAGGACCGUGUCAAACUUCUUGUCCCGAUCUUAAAAGUGCCCCGUGGAGUUUUCUUUCACAGAACUUAAAAGCGUAGUGGUAGUUUUCAUGGCCUGUGUGUGCAUGUAUUAUUCAGCUGCAUAUGUCCCUCUGAGAGAACAGCAACACAAGACCUGCAGACACAUCAGAGCUUCAAACCCAAAACAUGGGGAUACGGCCAGACCUAAGUCAGUGCAAACUAUGUCUUUACAGGAGGAGUCAGUGUGGGGUCAUCAUAGUAUAUAACUGCAUGCUAUAAAAGCGGCUUUUCUAGGUUAAAUUUUUGCACAAAGUUGUACAUUUAAAGGUGCAGUACGUGGCGUUUGGUGGCAUUUAUCCGGACAGGCAUAGUAAGGGGUAUAAUAUUCAUAAGUAUGUUUAAAUUAGUGAAUAAACUCCUGUUAACUAAGAAUUGGCAUUUUGGAUCAGGCCCCUUUCCACUCAGGUCACCAUGUUGCACCGCCAUGUUUCUUAAGUAUCACAAAAAGGACAAACUUAGAGGAAUCACACACAUUUGUACUUAAUGUUCUCUGACUGUUUUAACAGUCGCAAACAGUAACGGUUACAGCGGGACAUACUGUACAAAAAGCCGUUUCUAGAGGGGCAGUGACUCAUGUUGCUCAUUUGCUUACUGAGUGACAGCAGUUAAAGAUGUCAGAAUUACAUUAGAGUUGUAAUCAGUCAUGUUACUGACACUUUUGUUUGCUUGUCUAGCUCAUAAAGAGGCAGUGGUAAUAAUUUCAGUCCUCACUAUAGGUUUAGAUAAAAAAUAAUAAAAAAAUCCUAAAGGGAUAUUCCAGUGUACAAUUAAUUUAGGGUUAAACACACCGUAAUACUGAGUUAGACACACCCUCCAGACAUGAAUGUUGCCGACCGCUUGCUUCUCUAGUAAUACACAGCGGUCUGAGGAGCCAUAAACAAACCUUAACCAAAACGCCACUCUAUAGCCACAAAUAAUGCUCAGAACAGCACCUAACUUCAUCAACAGGACAUAGUACUAGACACCAAACAUCUUUUUAACUUUGACUCAUUUGUUAUUUUUUAUGUAAACCUACAGUAAGGACUGAAAUUAUUACCACUGCCUCUUUAUGGGUUAGAAAAGCAAACAAAAGUGUCAUUAACAUGACUGUUUAUAACUCUAAUGUAAUUCUGACAUCUUUAACUGCUGUCACUCAGUAAGCAAAUGAGCAACAUGAGUCACUGCCCCUCUAGAAACGGCUUUUUGAACAGUAUGUCCUGCUGUAAUCUGUACUGUGUGCGACUGUUAAAACAGUCAGAGAACAUUAAGUGCAGGACAAACUUAGUAAAGAGAUGUUUUCUUUAGUCCACCAGGGGCGCCAAACCCAACCCAGGCCAAAAGUUCCCCACAGGAGCUUUAAGGUCAAUCUUCUUUGAGUUGGAGUUUAACUUCAUUUCUUUAACUAAAAGACAGCGGAGUAAAAGAAACCAUCUCUCUUUGUAAAACCCUGGCCUUGGGCAGAGAUGAGGAGUAGACUGCAGAAGGGUUUUUUUUUUUCAGUCCGUCUGCCUGAUUUUAAAGUUUCACACUCACUUUAACACUGAUGUUAAUGUCUCACAAAACCCACCACCACAAAAACAACAACAGCAUGUUUAACUUCAGAGCUCUCCUAGUGCAGCCGUUCAUUUUCUCUCUUUUCUAUCUCUCUAUCUCCUCAUCUCUCUCUCUCUCUCUCUCUCUUUCUCUCCUCCACCUCAGAGGAAAAGUAAUCUGGGAAGCAGAUAUCUCUCACACUCCCCUGAAUAAUGAAUGGGGCUUGGGAGUUCUCCCACACAGUAGUUCAAGCCCCUGAUCAGUAUGCCAAAUACGCGAACACACAUCCCCGCUGUCGCAUUCAAACCUCCUAACUCCCUCCUUUUUGGACCUUCCUUCUUUUAGGUUUAGGUGAGGAUUGGCCCCUCUGUCCGAGUGAAGAGGCCGCGGACCUGCGGACACCUGCUGUGUCGUUUUUCAAACAUAUUCUGACACAGCUUGUGUUUUUCGGGCUUCUCUGGGACUCGAUAGAAGAUACAAGCUUUUCUCUCGCAGCAAAGAUAUACUGCAGCCUCCUUCAUUACUGACUCCACCAUAAGAAGCACUUUGAAGGCUUUCACCAACUGCAUUCCUCCCCUCAGCUGACUUUUCUGGGCUCCAGUCUGGUGGAAUUAUUGAUCAGGCUCCUCAGGGGGUUAGUGUGGAGUUGAAGGGUGAGAGGAGGUUGUGGGGGUUUGUUAAGAAGAGGGAGAGUGGGAGCUGGGAAGUAGUCUUAUGUUCCCUCUGCAGGAGGAAGCCCACCCAGACCCUCACAGAGGCCCAGACAGCUGUCACAUCUGAGCCGGAGUUAAAAAAGAAAGAGACGGUUGGUCCUGAGUUGGAGUUUUAAAACUUUUUCAGGAGGCAGAGCUUCAGAGCUGCUGCAGUCUCUGCGAUUAUUCGGCUUAAUCUGACCUCCUCUGUGUAUUCAAAAUCCACAAAUAAAACUCUUUUCUGAGAAUAAUCCUGCAGGACAGCAAACACUCGCAGCUCAUGUUUGCAUCAUAUUGUUUUCUAUUAAAGCCACGGGUGCUGUCUGAACGCACGUCAUCAAUGAUGCAGGACUCUGCAAACAGCCUGAGUUUAGAGCGACCCGUAACACCUGACAUAUCAUCUGUUAACUAUUCAGAAUAAUGUCAUUAUUAUGAGAGCCAUAUGCAAAAGGCAGAUUUCACUCGAGGCUGAAGUUGCAGAUUCUGCAUAUUUGCACAUUCAUCCAGACCGACUCUGGUUUUCAAAUUCAGUCUUUGUGGGAUGAAAUAGAUGCUGAGUUCACCUGCAGCACCUGAGAAAUAAGGUGAUGUUGAUUUUGCAAUAGGUCCUGGUUCAGAAGUAGCAUUUUAGAGAUUAUACAGGCCUGUUUAGCCUGCAUGGACCCCUCUGACUGGCAAUUUCCACCGCAUCCGCAAGGGCCGCAAAAAGGGCGUAUCUGCCAAUUGUAGCUGAUUGUAGCCAUUCAAGUUAACGUGUCAAUUUCUGUCUGCUUCUUUCCGUUUCGCUGCAGGGUUGCACGGGUUCUUGUUAGUUCUCGCAAUUCCCGCUGUCUGUAAUCAGCCACGAAAUUCGCCUUGCAAACCGAUCUGGUAGGAAUUGGCGUACAGCGAAAAUCACCGCCGUUCAGGAUGUGGUGGAAAUCCUGAGUGAAAGAGUCUGAUCUACGUACAGUGUCGACCAUUACCGUCUCAUUGCUGAGUGCUUAACUCUUUAAUUUUCAUAGUUUGAGCCCCCGCCGCCGACACCUGAAAGUUUGAACUGGGAAAACAAGAUGCAUUUCCAGACCUAUGGGCAGAGCUGUAACAAAGCCUUUCUUCUGGACGGCUAAAGGGAUCAGAGCAGGCUGGACAGUGCUCGAUUCAAUCGUGUCAAAUUGUGCAUAACUUUUAAGAUUUGUACACACUUCUUGGAUUAAAUACAGGCCCUAACUUUGUGCUUUGAGUCCGUUUGCCUCCAAAGUCUUCCAAACAUCCACCCAGCUUUGGUUGACACCUGAUCCAGACUGACUCCUGACCUCGGAGUGUGAGGAGGGUAACAGAAAAGAUAAUUCCUCUCCUGGGGGUUAAUUAAGAAUCACAUUAUUACCAUUAUUUAUCCUGCAGGUCCUCAUUAUACUCGCCUCGUGUGGACCAAUCCCCAGCCAGCCUACGACCGAAGCCUGAGAGUUACAGUAAGAGGAAGGUAGUCGCACAAAACAACAAGAUGACACACACAGAUACACACACGCUGUCCAAACACACCUGCACACACAGAAUUCCCACACACUGAACACACACUCAAUCACACGCUAAAGUAGCUCAACCUUUGACUGGCCCAGGCCGUCUCACUUACAGCCCUCUUGUAAUACACUAAUGUAAAGGAGAACUCCCAGUGUGUAUGUGUGUGUGUGUGUGUGUGAAUGUGUGUGUCAGGGUAGGGCAGGCCCGGGGCCAGACAGACAGACAGGCCGGGCCGGUAUAUAUUUACCCUGACUGAGGGGAGUGGAAGUGAGGGAUUAGUUACAACAACAGGCUGGCGGCUCUGAGACACAACACUGAUGGAGCAGAAGGACACAACAGUGAGUUAUGUUUGUGUGUCUGUUCUGUAUCUUUGAUAGAAAGUGUGUUUGUGGAUGACUAUGAGACAAAACCACUUUAAUGGGUCAGAAUCAAAUCUAGACGCUCCGAUAUCCAAAAGCAAACAUCCAUUUUCAGACUUUUUGAUUAGUCAUAGUGGAAGAAGCACAUGUGGAGCUAAUAACGUGGAUGAUGGUUGAACAGGGAUGUCUGAUCUUAUCGGCUCCCUCUGAGUGCAGCGGGUCAAAAUGCAAAAUGUGAAACCAGAUCUAUAAUGUACCCCCAGAAAUAACCCCAAAGUGGUUCACAUGUCACACAAACUGGAGCUUUUCUGAUCUCGCAGAGGAAAUGACCAAACUUUGAGGCUCCACUAGCGUAGAGCGCCCUGAACGGAAUGUCAAGAGUGUGGUGCUCGAAUCUAUUCCACGCCACUGUGGAGUCCGUCCUCCUGUAUGGCUGCGAAAGCUGGACCCUGACACCCACCCUGCAGAAGUCCCUGGAUGGGUGCUACACCAGAAUGCUAUGAGCUGUUCUGAACGUGGACCAGAACAUCCACAUUACCAACAAGGACCUGUACGGGCAACUGCCGAGGCUCAGCAAGAAGGUAGCAUCUAGGAGGAUGAAAACACCCUCGACUUUCUCUGAGUCUGAAAUGAUCCUAAACUUUAUUCCAAAAAGUGGACAUGACUAUGCAGGGUUGGAGUCGCAGAGUCAAGCGUAGUAAAUUUUGAGAGUUUUUCAGGUCGAGUGUUUUUUAUGCGCUUCUAACUCAGUUAGUCAACGUGACACAAACUCUAAACUUCCAUACAAAACCCUGGACAUUUGAAGGAUUUCAUAAACUCCCCCUGACAAGUCCGGGUAAAAGAGGACACAUGGUCACCCUAAUUUAAAUUCUAAAUCAAAACACGUGGGGUAAGCUAUGAAAGACCAGGCAUCUUGAGCAGAAGUUUAAGAAGUCAAGGAGAAUGAAAAACGUUUGCAGUUUUACUCCUGAUUGAAAAGAGAGUGACCUGAGAAGAUGGUGUGAUGGUAGGAGUGCACUGAGGGACUCUAUAGAAAACAGGAAACAAUAAGAAAGUCUGAGAGAAAGUCCGAGGAAAUAAGAGACAGUCAAGACCAGAAAGCAGAGCCUCUGAAAGCCCCCGGUUUGCUUGUCCUAAACACAAAUGGCGUUCCUGAGGGAGGAACCGGAGCGGUCGAAUGGACCAAUUGGCCCCUUUGACCCCAUAAGUGAGAGAUGGAUAAUGUGGGGGCCAAAGGGCCUCUGGGCCCUGCUGGUGUACUGUUCCCUUUACAAUAUGAAAGCUCAACACACACAUGCACAUCCUAAAAAACACGUGCACUCCCAGGUGUGUGCACCGGGGCGUAGAGGCACAUGUGCACAGACGGGAUCGUAUGCACAGUCAUACAGCAGCACGUAAUGUGUGCAGGCAGGUACGCACACCGCCACAGUCCUCACUGUAAAUAGGUCCAGACAGUGUUUGUUGGUGUUUCUGAUGAGGAAACUGAAGUACAGAGACCCCCGCACCCCCCCUCUUUGUUUUACAGACUGUUCCAGAAAGAAGUUUGGCAGGUUUUCUGUUUCUCCUCGUUAGCGAAGAAUGCGUGUGGUGGUGGUGUUAGCGGCGGUGGGGGCGGCCCGGUGAAGAAUGCCAGACGACUGAGCUUUUCCGUUUUCACUUUUAGACCUGGAACCGUGAAGUAUGUUGAUAUUAGCAGAGUGUUGUUGGAAGUGUUUGGCCCUGGGCACUUCCAAUUUUCAUCUGAGCUUUUUGGGACUUGUCAAAUUAGAGUGACUCCAAGUUUUCAGGAGCAGGCAGGCGGCCAUUUUGCUGCUGGUCAAUGCGCUGCGUCAUGGUUUCCACUUCCUGGAAUUUCGUCUGCUGCCUUGUUCCCCAAAUAAUCACCUCUGUGUAUCUUAAACAAGCAGCCUUGGCACAGGAUCCCGCAAUGGUUGAUUACCAUGAAAACAAACAAGUUUUAAUGAGCCUCGGUUUAUGGCUGCGGACCGCUAAUAUGUGCUCUAGUUUGUUUUGUAAAUGAGAAAAGGACUAAAAGCAAGAUAACGACAAAUAUAUUUAUUCACAAAGAAAGGCUCAAUUUGAGUCAGAUGUCUCAUAAAAACCAUUAACACCUCUUUUUUUCUGGUGAUUCACAUCCUUAAACUGUUUAAAACUUUCCAGGACUUUGGUCGUUCAAAGCUAACCUGUCCAAGUGUGAAAAGCUGCUUAAUAAGAGAGAAAUUAAAUGAAAAUUAAGCACUUUGUCAAUUAAAAUUCAAAACAAAUGUGGGAGAUCAAAUGUGGGAAAAGUAUAAAAAUAUCAUCUGAAACCGACACAAAUCUGUGUCAGAGACACUCUUCUUAUCCAUCAUGUUUGAAUUUUCUAGAACAAAAAAUGUCAAACUUUUAUUUUGAAAUUCAGAUUAAUCUGUUUUAAUUGCAUUUUAAAAAGUUUUAUUUCAUUUUAAGACACUUUUAUUCCUGCAAAAUCAUUCUUAUAAGCAUCUUGAUUUCAGGAUUGAAUGACUGUAAUGAUAUGUACUUAAUGAUUUUGACUUUAACACUUGAUUUGCUGCACCAGUGUGGUCUGAAAUAACGGCAUAUCAAGGAUUACAGCGUUAGGCAUUAAGAAAUAAAACAUGCAAAGAUGAUUCAAAGAUGAUUUUGAGUAUUUAUGAUUUUAGUUUAAUUUCAUCUGCAGGUUUAAAGUGAUUCUCUUACUCCAACAUGGAUCUCUGCAGGCUUUUGUAUGUAUUGAAACGGAACCCUGCAGGUAUAAGUCCUCCGUGUGAGAUGAAACCAGAUCUCCUACAGUGAAGGUUGAUUUCUUUAAACACCUGUUGCUGCUUGAACCUGUUUCUGUAACGUGUUAAUCAGAGCCGUGUGCUUUUGUAAGAGCUCUUAAUCAUUUCUGCAGAUCAACAGAUCCUCUUAUUAUUCUGACAAGCUUAUGCAAAAAAUAUCUCACAGUUUAAUUAACCAUCAGUCAUCAUUUACGGUUAAGUUUAGUCAUAAUUCUUAUCAAAUCUAACCAGGAUUAGAUGCAAUCAAUCGCAAUUUCCACUAAUUAAUUAGAUUAAUUGGCGAAUUUGUGCGUGGGAAACAUUAAAGAUGAAAUCCUGCAGUAAAAAUACAUAUAUUUUCAUCUAAUUAAAGAUGCAGUUUGCAAGAAUCUUAAGCAGUGAAACAUCUCGGAGUGUUACGGAGACUCAAGAGGAAUAAAUAAGUGAAGCUUCCCUGUGAAGAAGUCACCAGAGGACACUGAUUUGCUGCGUUAAAGGACUUUUAAACUGUUUUUUUAGGUCAGGCGCAGAAAAAAAGAAGACAUAUCUUGAAGAUGGUUGUGUCUUUCCCAGAAGUAUUCGGUCGUGGUUAUAUAAGUUGUGUUUGGUCAGGUUGUUUGCCUGCAGAUGAUCAACAAUGUCAGACACAUCAUGUCAAAACAACCCGUCCACUUUCUUCUGAUCCAGAUCCUCCUCAGUGGCUACUGAAUCAACCGACUGCCUUUUGAUGGGGGGAGCGCCGCCGGCACUCGCCGCUGCUCUUGGAAUUGUGGGAGCUGCUUCACAUGGCAUUUUGUGUCAUUAUAUAAUGGAACAGCGGUCUGGCAGCAGCAGUGGCAGGGAUGUCGAUGCUCUGUCUCCAUUUUAGUGUAAGUGAUGCUGCUGAGUGUGAAGAGGUCAGAUCAGCCGAACUGGACAAGCACCGAUUCUGUCAGAUCAGUCGAUAGUUCUGGAUUUCUGUGUUUGGAUACUGAGAGAGGGUGUGAUAGAGAGUAAACAG
Molecule: non-coding RNA, 12628 nt
Organism: Xyrichtys novacula (pearly razorfish)
Lineage: Eukaryota; Metazoa; Chordata; Actinopteri; Labriformes; Labridae
Source: the annotation of a GenBank genome assembly